CCCUUAGAUGUUCUGGGCCGCACGCGUGCUACACUGAGUGGAUCAGCGGGUCAGGUUGCGCGAAAGCGUUUCCUAAUCUUUAAAUCCGCUCGUGAUGGGGAUUGACGGUUGCAAUUUUCUGUCAUGAACGAGGAAUACCUUGUAAGCGCGGGUCAUCAUCCCGCGCUGAAUACGUCCCUGCCCUUUGUACACACCGCCCGUCGCUCCUACCGAUUGAGUGGUCCGGUGGGGCUUUGGGAUCUGAGCGGAAAGAGCGUUUCGCUGUUUCUGCUCGGAAAACUCAGUCGAACCUUACCAUUUAGAGGAAGGAGAAGUCGUAACA
RNAcentral lists this ribosomal RNA (322 nucleotides) under uncultured eukaryote. RNAcentral's name for it is "partial 18S ribosomal RNA". It matches the Rfam family "Eukaryotic small subunit ribosomal RNA", at positions 1470 to 1796 of the family's 1831-position model. The record is from RNAcentral.